UUUCUAUUGAGCUGCUCAGUGCCCGGCUUAGAAGACCAGGAAAAGGAGUCACAGGUCGUAUGCUGGAGGCUUGAGCCGCGGCACCGUGGCGCGGCUCGCCUCGCUGCGGUUGGUGGUGGCGGUGGACAUUGCAGCGCGGCUGGAGGGGUGAGAUAUUCCUGCACAUCCUCUGGUGACCCCAGAAUGAGGGGGACUCGCUGGUGAAUUGCCUCGGGCUUCACGUCCAGUACAGGCUGGGUCCCCGUGGUCGCCAAGCCUCCUGCCUGCUCAAUGAUGUAGGCCACGGGAUUGCAUUCAUACAGGAGCCGGAGCUGUGGAGGAACAGAGGCAGGACAAAUUCACCAAGAGCCUAGCAACAUGAAGAGAGAUGCCAGGAAGAAGAGAGAAGCCAGGAAACAAGCCAACCGCACAAUCCCCACAUCAGAGCAGGAGAAGAUGGGGGCCUGCUGGCAGAGCUGGGGCUUGGCUGUGGUCACUCUGAACCUGCUCUUUGGUGUUUUCAUGAGUGGUGGGAAGAAUAGGGACCAUAUGGAGCCCACACAGGAAGCUCUAGCAGUAACACAGCAAGCAGGAAGACAAUUCUAAGGAAGCAGCCCAUAGUCUUCUUUCUUUUCCUGUGCAUCUUCCACUGUCAGUGAGGCUCCUCAUUUAUGGUGAACCCAACUGUGUGUAUCUCCCAAGUUCUCACCCGCAGAUUAAUGUUUUCAGGAAGAUAGGCCAUCAACAGUGAGAGGAAGAAGUUACAUUGUCGUAUGAGGGAUGCAUUUUAACCAUUAAUUUGUGGUACAGGCUGGGCGCAGUGGCUUAUGCAUGUAAUCCCAGCACUUUGGGAGGCCGAGGUGGG
RNAcentral lists this long non-coding RNA (844 nucleotides) under Homo sapiens (human). RNAcentral's name for it is "long non-coding RNA NONHSAT133327.2". The record is from RNAcentral. Lineage: Eukaryota; Metazoa; Chordata; Mammalia; Primates; Hominidae.